Molecule: ribosomal RNA, 495 nt
Filed under: uncultured bacterium
Lineage: Bacteria
Description: partial 16S ribosomal RNA
Rfam family: Bacterial small subunit ribosomal RNA
Source: RNAcentral
GACGAACGCUGGCGGCGUGCCUAAUACAUGCAAGUCGAACGCUGAAGGAGGAGCUUGCUUCUCUGGAUGAGUUGCGAACGGGUGAGUAACGCGUAGGUAACCUGCCUGGUAGCGGGGGAUAACUAUUGGAAACGAUAGCUAAUACCGCAUAAUAUUGACUAUUGCAUGAUAGUCAGUUGAAAGGUGCAACUGCACCACUACCAGAUGGACCUGCGUUGUAUUAGCUAGUUGGUGGGGUAACGGCUCACCAAGGCGACGAUACAUAGCCGACCUGAGAGGGUGAUCGGCCACACUGGGACUGAGACACGGCCCAGACUCCUACGGGAGGCAGCAGUAGGGAAUCUUCGGCAAUGGACGGAAGUCUGACCGAGCAACGCCGCGUGAGUGAAGAAGGGUUUCGGAUCGUAAAGCUCUGUUGUAAGAGAAGAACGAGUGUGAGAGUGGAAAGCUCACACUGUGACGGUAUCUUACCAGAAAGAGACGGCUAACUACGUG